Molecule: ribosomal RNA, 484 nt
Filed under: uncultured bacterium
Lineage: Bacteria
Description: partial 16S ribosomal RNA
Rfam family: Bacterial small subunit ribosomal RNA
Source: RNAcentral
AGUGAACGCUGGCGGCGUGCUUAACACAUGCAAGUCGAACGAGAACGGAUUAUAGCUUGCUAUAAUUGUCAGCUAAGUGGCGCACGGGUGAGUAAUGUAUAGGUAAUAUGCCUCUUACUAAGGGAUAACAAAUGGAAACGUUUGCUAAUACCUUAUACUCCUUAUUAACAUAAGUUAAUAAGGGAAAGAUUUAUUGGUAAGAGAUUAGCCUGUAUUGUAUCAGUUAGUUGGUGGGGUAAUGGCUUACCAAGGCUAUGACACAUAACUGGUUUGAGUGGAUGAUCAGUCACACUGGAACUGAGACACGGUCCAGACUCCUACGGGAGGCAGCAGUGGGGAAUAUUGCACAAUGGACGAAAGUCUGAUGCAGCAACGCCGCGUGGAGGAUGACACAUUUCGGUGCGUAAACUCCUUUUAUAUGAGAAGAUAAUGACGGUAUUAUAUGAAUAAGCACCGGCUAACUCCGUGCCAGCCGCCGCAGUAA